Molecule: ribosomal RNA, 497 nt
Filed under: uncultured bacterium
Lineage: Bacteria
Description: partial 16S ribosomal RNA
Rfam family: Bacterial small subunit ribosomal RNA
Source: RNAcentral
GAUGAACGCUGGCGGCGUGCCUAAUACAUGCAAGUCGAGCGAACAGACGAGGAGCUUGCUCCUCUGACGUUAGCGGCGGACGGGUGAGUAACACGUGGAUAACCUACCUAUAAGACUGGGAUAACUUCGGGAAACCGGAGCUAAUACCGGAUAAUAUAUUGAACCGCAUGGUUCAAUAUUGAAAGACGGUUUUGCUGUCACUUAUAGAUGGAUCCGCGCCGCAUUAGCUAGUUGGUAAGGUAACGGCUUACCAAGGCAACGAUGCGUAGCCGACCUGAGAGGGUGAUCGGCCACACUGGAACUGAGACACGGUCCAGACUCCUACGGGAGGCAGCAGUAGGGAAUCUUCCGCAAUGGGCGAAAGCUUGACGGAGCAACGCCGCAUGAGUGAUGAAGGUCUUCGGAUCGUAAAACUCUGUUAUUAGGGAAGAACAAAUGUGUAAGUAACUAUGCACGUCUUGACGGUACCUAAUCAGAAAGCCACGGCUAACUACGUG